GUCCAGGCUGGCCUCAAACUUGUGAGUCUCCUGCCUCGGCCUCCCAACUAGCAGGAACUACAGACUGAUGAGUUGGAGAAAUGCUUCUUGUAACCUUAAGCUGAUCUUCCUGGUUGGGCAAGUGGCUGAGAUGAAAGAACUGAGGCAUGGGGAAAUUAAGCAACUCUUACAAGAUUACCCAAUCGGUCAAAUGUUAAAUAGUGCUGAGUUGGACUACCUUUAACCAGAGAAUGGGGAAACGUUCAUGAUACGUUUUGGAAUUAUACUCACCGGGACUGUUUUUCUUUCUUGAUAACACUCCACGAAGAGCAAGGAGCGGCUGGGUCCUCCAAGGCUCCAUGAGACCUUGAUACUAUAUCUGGCUACAGAGUCCACCAGGACUAGGGCUUCAACUUGGCUUAAGAACUACAAUUUCCUGCUCUAGCAACACAAUUAGCACCUUUCACAGUAGCACAGAUGUGGAAUCAACCUACAUGUCCAUGAAAGGAUGAAUGCAUGCGGAAAAUGUGGUAUGUACAUAACAUAGAAUAUUACUCAGAUAUAAAAGGAAGGAAAUCUUACCAUCUGUGACAACAUGGGUAACUUAGAGGACAUUUUGCUAAGGG
Molecule: non-coding RNA, 605 nt
Organism: Heterocephalus glaber (naked mole-rat)
Lineage: Eukaryota; Metazoa; Chordata; Mammalia; Rodentia; Bathyergidae
Source: RefSeq, a predicted model, not a curated record